GUGGGCAGCCCUUUCCUCUCUCUUCUCCUCCCUUUCUCCUCUUUUCCCUUCCUUCCUGCCUUGGUCCAGGGCUGCCUACCCACUGCCCACCGCGUUGCCACAGGUGCCUCCUCUGGGGUCGCCCUCCCCUCCCCCAAGAGACUUACCCGCUUCCUCAGCCAUGGAAGGAGCGAGCAAGAGGGUGUCUGAGCAUGUGGAGAACGGCAGCUGUCAUGAAAAUUACUUGAAAAUAUGUACAUACAUAAUCAUAUAGGAAAGCUACAGUGAGAUUCGGUUUUGCUUUUCUUGGAAAAGGAGAUUCAUACAUUUGCUUCAGCCUCCUGCUAAAUCAUUCAAGACAAAGAGAAUGAUAGUCAGAAGAGACCCCAAGGGCCAUCCAGGUCAACCCCCUGCCAUGCAGGAACU
Molecule: long non-coding RNA, 405 nt
Organism: Sceloporus undulatus (fence lizard)
Lineage: Eukaryota; Metazoa; Chordata; Lepidosauria; Squamata; Phrynosomatidae
Exons: 3
Source: RefSeq, a predicted model, not a curated record